ACCUUGAAAUACCACCCUUUAAUGUUUGAUGUUCUAACGUGGACCCGUAAUCCGGGUUGCGGACAGUGUCUGGUGGGUAGUUUGACUGGGGCGGUCUCCUCCUAAAGAGUAACGGAGGAGCACGAAGGUUGGCUAAUCCUGGUCGGACAUCAGGAGGUUAGUGCAAUGGCAUAAGCCAGCUUGACUGCGAGCGUGACGGCGCGAGCAGGUGCGAAAGCAGGUCAUAGUGAUCCGGUGGUUCUGAAUGGAAGGGCCAUCGCUCAACGGAUAAAAGGUACUCCGGGGAUAACAGGCUGAUACCGCCCAAGAGUUCAUAUCGACGGCGGUGUUUGGCACCUCGAUGUCGGCUCAUCACAUCCUGGGGCUGAAGUAGGUCCCAAGGGUAUGGCUGUUCGCCAUUUAAAGUGGUACGCGAGCUGGGUUUAGAACGUCGUGAGACAGUUCGGUCCCUAUCUGCCGUGGGCGCUGGAGAAUUGAGGGGGGCUGCUCCUAGUACGAGAGGACCGGAGUGGACGCAUCACUGGUGUUCGGGUUGUCAUGCCAAUGGCACUGCCCGGUAGCUAAAUGCGGAAGAGAUAAGUGCUGAAAGCAUCUAAGCACGAAACUUGCCCCGAGAUGAGUUCUCCCUGACUCCUUGAGAGUCCUGAAGGAACGUUGAAGACGACGACGUUGAUAGGCCGGGUGUGU
Molecule: ribosomal RNA, 687 nt
Filed under: Escherichia coli
Lineage: Bacteria; Pseudomonadati; Pseudomonadota; Gammaproteobacteria; Enterobacterales; Enterobacteriaceae
Description: partial 23S ribosomal RNA
Rfam family: Bacterial large subunit ribosomal RNA
Source: RNAcentral